CCAGACUCCUACGGGAGGCAGCAGUGGGGGAUAUUGGACAAUGGGGGAAACCCUGAUCCAGCGACGCCGCGUGAGUGAAGAAGUAUUUCGGUAUGUAAAGCUCUAUCAGCAGGGAAGAAAGAAAUGACGGUACCUGAGUAAGAAGCCCCGACUAACUACGUGCCAGCAGCCGCGGUAAUACGUAGGGGGCAAGCGUUAUCCGGAAUUACUGGGUGUAAAGGGAGCGUAGACGGUAAUGCAAGUCUGGAGUGAAAUCCCAUGGCUUAACCAUGGAACUGCUUUGGAAACUGUGCAGCUAGAGUGCAGGAGAGGUAAGCGGAAUUCCUAGUGUAGCGGUGAAAUGCGUAGAUAUUAGGAGGAACACCAGUGGCGAAGGCGGCUUACUGGACUGUAACUGACGUUGAGGCUCGAAAGCGUGGGGAGCAAACAGGAUUAGAUACCCGAGUACC
RNAcentral lists this ribosomal RNA (449 nucleotides) under uncultured bacterium. Its description in RNAcentral is "bacterial SSU rRNA". It matches the Rfam family "Bacterial small subunit ribosomal RNA", at positions 331 to 794 of the family's 1533-position model. The record is from RNAcentral.